UUUCGACCUGAGCUCAGGCAAGACUACCCGCUGAACUUAAGCAUAUCAAUAAGCGGAGGAAAAGAAACUAACCAGGAUUCCCCUAGUAACGGCGAGUGAACCGGGAAAAG
This 110-nucleotide ribosomal RNA is filed under the name Pseudochlorella pringsheimii. Its description in RNAcentral is "partial 25S rRNA". It matches the Rfam family "Eukaryotic large subunit ribosomal RNA", at positions 1 to 107 of the family's 3401-position model. Lineage: Eukaryota; Viridiplantae; Chlorophyta; Trebouxiophyceae; Chlorellales; Chlorellaceae. The record is from RNAcentral.